CUGUAUUUGGGUUUAUUUCACUUGAACAUUAUUUUAUUUAAUACCUGGUAUAUUUCGAUUACCUUUUUUCACAAUAAAUAAUACACUACCAGGAUUAUCCCCCUUCGUUACUUUGGCAAUUCUCAAGAGUGCAAUAUUCCUCAUUUUUCAGUCACCUGGAUUCUUGAUGGAAUAUGGUUUAUUUGCAUCGGAUCAGCCAUAUUUUCAGCUACAUCCAACUGCAUUAUGAGUAUAUA
Pelobates cultripes (western spadefoot toad) is the source of this 236-nucleotide non-coding RNA. The record is from the annotation of a GenBank genome assembly. Lineage: Eukaryota; Metazoa; Chordata; Amphibia; Anura; Pelobatidae.